RNAcentral lists this transfer RNA (74 nucleotides) under Candidatus Kaiserbacteria bacterium. Its description in RNAcentral is "tRNA-Val". It matches the Rfam family "tRNA". Rfam says of the family: Transfer RNA (tRNA) molecules are approximately 80 nucleotides in length. Their secondary structure includes four short double-helical elements and three loops (D, anti-codon, and T loops). The record is from RNAcentral. Lineage: Bacteria; Candidatus Kaiseribacteriota.
GCACUCUUAGCUCAGUUGGCUAGAGCGCGCCCUUCACACGGGCGAGGUCGGAAGUUCGAAUCUUCCAGAGUGCA